GAUUAUGGCUCAGGAUGAACGCUAGCUACAGGCUUAACACAUGCAAGUCGAGGGGCAGCAUGAGCUUAGCUUGCUAAGCUUGAUGGCGACCGGCGCACGGGUGAGUAACGCGUAUCCAACCUUCCCCUUAGUAGGGCAUAGCCCGAUGAAAAUCGGAUUAAUACCCUAUGUUCUUCACAGCGGACAUCUAACGUGAAGCAAAGGUUCACCGCUAAGGGAUGGGGAUGCGUCUGAUUAGGUAGUCGGCGGGGUAACGGCCCACCGAGCCAUCGAUCAGUAGGGGUUCUGAGAGGAAGGUCCCCCACAUUGGAACUGAGACACGGUCCAAACUCCUACGGGAGGCAGCAGUGAGGAAUAUUGGUCAAUGGGCGCGAGCCUGAACCAGCCAAGUAGCGUGCAAGGAUGACGGCCCUAUGGGUUGUAAACUGCUUUUAUGCGGGGAUAAAGUCGCCCACGUGUGGGUGUUUGCAGGUACCGCAUGAAUAAGGACCGGCUAAUUCCGUGCCAGCCGCAGC
Molecule: ribosomal RNA, 515 nt
Filed under: uncultured bacterium
Lineage: Bacteria
Description: bacterial SSU rRNA
Rfam family: Bacterial small subunit ribosomal RNA
Source: RNAcentral